This 586-nucleotide ribosomal RNA is filed under the name Septoglomus constrictum. RNAcentral's name for it is "eukaryotic LSU rRNA". It matches the Rfam family "Eukaryotic large subunit ribosomal RNA", at positions 204 to 637 of the family's 3401-position model. The record is from RNAcentral. Lineage: Eukaryota; Fungi; Glomeromycota; Glomeromycetes; Glomerales; Glomeraceae.
CAUGGAGGGUGAGAAUCCCGUUCAUGGUUGAUUUUAAGGCGCUUUACGAUACGUUUUCAAAGAGUCGAGUUGUUUGGGAUUGCAGCUUAAAAUGGGAGGUAAAUUUCUCCUAAAGCUAAAUAUUGGCGAGAGACCGAUAGCGAACAAGUACCGUGAGGGAAAGAUGAAAAGAACUUUGAAAAGAGAGUUAAACAGUACGUGAAAUUGUUGAAAGGGAAACGAUUGAAGUCAGUCGUACCAACGGGAAAUCAAUUCAUCGAGUGUUAAAUUUGGGUUUCGAAGAGUGUUAAAACCUUUGAGUUCAGAUAUUUUCACUUUUUGAACGUAUUUUCUCGUACGGUAGGUUAACAUCGAUUUUGAACAUUAUAAAAUGAUCGGAGGAAUGUAGCUUCGAUCUCGUAUUGAAGUGUUAUAGCCUUUGGUAGAUGUAAUGAUCGAGAUCGAGGAUUGCAACGAAUACCCUUUUGGGCUAUCCGUCUGAUCUCUGAUACGUUGCCUCGGUAACGAAAGCGUGCUUACGGUAUUGAGGUAUUACGGUCAAAAGGUUAGAACGAGAUUACAUUCGUUAAGGAUGUUGACGUAAUGG